GACAGAGGGUGCAAACGUUGUUCGGAAUUACUGGGCGUAAAGCGUGUGUAGGCGGUCCACUAAGUCGGGUGUGAAAGCCCUGGGCUCAACCCAGGAAGUGCACUCGAAACUGGCGGGCUAGAGUAUCGGAGAGGUUGGUGGAAUUCUCGGUGUAGAGGUGAAAUUCGUAGAUAUCGAGAGGAACACCGGUAGCGAAGGCGGCCAACUGGACGAAUACUGACGCUGAGACACGAAAGCGUGGGGAGCAAACAGG
RNAcentral lists this ribosomal RNA (253 nucleotides) under uncultured bacterium. RNAcentral describes it as "partial 16S ribosomal RNA". It matches the Rfam family "Bacterial small subunit ribosomal RNA", at positions 524 to 776 of the family's 1533-position model. The record is from RNAcentral.